GCUUGCAGUGAUACCACCUCGAAGUAUGUGAUCUUGUCUGAUCCUGCAAUUUAAGCAGGGUGGGGCUUGCUCGGUAUUUGGAUGGGGACAAGUUAAAACAACGUUUUGCCAGAA
Ribosomal RNA from Chelonoidis abingdonii (Abingdon island giant tortoise), 114 nucleotides. The record is from Ensembl. Lineage: Eukaryota; Metazoa; Chordata; Testudines; Testudinidae.